UCCGAUAUGGUGUAGUGGCUAACAUUAUCGCCUCUCAUGUAUUGGAACGCGAUAGCCCGGGGUUCGAUUCCCCGUGUCGGAA
This 82-nucleotide transfer RNA is filed under the name Lentinula raphanica. It matches the Rfam family "tRNA". Rfam says of the family: Transfer RNA (tRNA) molecules are approximately 80 nucleotides in length. Their secondary structure includes four short double-helical elements and three loops (D, anti-codon, and T loops). Further hydrogen bonds mediate the characteristic L-shaped molecular structure. tRNAs have two regions of fundamental functional importance: the anti-codon, which is responsible for specific mRNA codon recognition, and the 3' end, to which the tRNAs corresponding amino acid is attached (by aminoacyl-tRNA synthetases). tRNAs cope with the degeneracy of the genetic code in two manners: having more than one tRNA (with a specific anti-codon) for a particular amino acid; and 'wobble' base-pairing, i.e. permitting non-standard base-pairing at the 3rd anti-codon position. The record is from Rfam by way of RNAcentral. Lineage: Eukaryota; Fungi; Basidiomycota; Agaricomycetes; Agaricales; Omphalotaceae.